Long non-coding RNA from Phyllopteryx taeniolatus (common seadragon), 548 nucleotides. RefSeq lists it as uncharacterized. The record is from RefSeq and is a predicted model, not a curated record. The transcript has 3 exons. Lineage: Eukaryota; Metazoa; Chordata; Actinopteri; Syngnathiformes; Syngnathidae.
CAUAAACAGCUGUCAGGCACACACACACUCGUGACUGCCCACUGCCCCGGAAACAUCAGAGCACAUCUCUGCCCCGAGAGUGAAGGGGUGAAGAGAUGCGUGAAAGUACUGCAAUACCAAAUCUCUCUACCUGGGUGCGGAUUCUUUGUGGUAGCUGGUUACCUACCAUGCCUAACCUCAUGAUACCACUAUUUCAGGGGUUGUGAGCCUUCCUGGGUGUGUCUCGACACAACGGGGGGUAUUUUCUCCUGACUCAAAAUCACUGGAAUGAUCAAUAUCCUCGUCAUGCCACCCCGCCUUCUAUCCACCUCCACAUGCCCACCACGCUGGCAGCAGAUGAGGGCCUCUGAACAACACGCAUACACAAGUCAGCACCCAGGCUGACGCGUACGCUGAGAGAGGCUCUCCAAGAUGUGACUCUACGAGAUGUGAAAUGGUUAAAACGGCUGGGGUGGUGAUGGGGGAUUGUCGAAGAAUAAUUGCCUGGAGACGGUGCAGAAAUAAGCCCUAAUGGUCAGUAAUCCAAGCCUGGAGAGGCCCUCUCCACA